RNAcentral lists this ribosomal RNA (447 nucleotides) under uncultured bacterium. RNAcentral describes it as "partial 16S ribosomal RNA". It matches the Rfam family "Bacterial small subunit ribosomal RNA", at positions 29 to 523 of the family's 1533-position model. The record is from RNAcentral.
AACGAACGCUGGCGGCAGGCUUAACACAUGCAAGUCGAACGCCCCGCAAGGGGAGUGGCAGACGGGUGAGUAACGCGUGGGAAUCUACCCAGUUCUACGGAAUAACCCAGGGAAACUUGGACUAAUACCGUAUACGCCCUACGGGGGAAAGAUUUAUCGGAAUUGGAUGAGCCCGCGUUGGAUUAGCUAGUUGGUGGGGUAAUGGCCUACCAAGGCGACGAUCCAUAGCUGGUCUGAGAGGAUGAUCAGCCACACUGGGACUGAGACACGGCCCAGACUCCUACGGGAGGCAGCAGUGGGGAAUAUUGGACAAUGGGCGCAAGCCUGAUCCAGCCAUGCCGCGUGAGUGAUGAAGGCCUUAGGGUUGUAAAGCUCUUUCAGUGGGGACGAUAAUGACGGUACCCACAGAAGAAGCCCCGGCUAACUUCGUGCCAGCAGCCGCGGUAA